UACACACUCCCUCCAUUCAGAAAUGCUUGUCAUCAAAAUAAAUAAAAUGGAAUGUAUCUAUACGUAUUUUAGUUUUAGAUACAUCCCUUUUUAUCCAUUUUGAUGACAAGUAUUUUCGGACGGAGGGAGUAUAUU
This is a non-coding RNA of Triticum aestivum (bread wheat), 135 nucleotides long. The record is from Rfam. Lineage: Eukaryota; Viridiplantae; Streptophyta; Magnoliopsida; Poales; Poaceae.